This 263-nucleotide long non-coding RNA is filed under the name Cricetulus griseus (Chinese hamster). RNAcentral's name for it is "lncRNA (ENSCGRG00000024764.1)". The record is from RNAcentral. Lineage: Eukaryota; Metazoa; Chordata; Mammalia; Rodentia; Cricetidae.
CAGACAUGGAAGGACAUGCAUGACACACUUCUCCAAGAAAUCAUGGAAAAGCCUCAGAUAGUGGCAGCUGCUGGCAGGGUCAGGAAGCUGCACACCUGACCAUUCCUGAGUGAAGAGACUACCAGGAGAGGCAAGACCAUCCAGAGCUGCAGACACUGAAGUCUUGGCCCACACAGACAACUGGAUGACAAGAGGAGAUAGAGAGACCCCACCUGCACUCACUGGAAGAAGACAGGGGAAGAAGACUGAAUAAGAACACACUC